UCAUCCCCGCCGCCGGGCGGGGCGAAGCGUUGGCUUCCGCAUCGUUAGGCCAUUGAAGAUGCAGGGGCGGGCGCAUUUUUUAU
This 83-nucleotide non-coding RNA is filed under the name unclassified sequences. The record is from RNAcentral.